RNAcentral lists this transfer RNA (73 nucleotides) under Ixodes scapularis (black-legged tick). It matches the Rfam family "tRNA". From Rfam's summary of the family: Transfer RNA (tRNA) molecules are approximately 80 nucleotides in length. Their secondary structure includes four short double-helical elements and three loops (D, anti-codon, and T loops). Further hydrogen bonds mediate the characteristic L-shaped molecular structure. tRNAs have two regions of fundamental functional importance: the anti-codon, which is responsible for specific mRNA codon recognition, and the 3' end, to which the tRNAs corresponding amino acid is attached (by aminoacyl-tRNA synthetases). tRNAs cope with the degeneracy of the genetic code in two manners: having more than one tRNA (with a specific anti-codon) for a particular amino acid; and 'wobble' base-pairing, i.e. permitting non-standard base-pairing at the 3rd anti-codon position. Lineage: Eukaryota; Metazoa; Arthropoda; Arachnida; Ixodida; Ixodidae. The record is from Rfam by way of RNAcentral.
GCCUCGGUGGCUCCGAGGCGAGAGCGCCGGCCUACGGAUGUGUUGGUGGCGGGUUCGAAUCCCGACCGAGGUG